AUACGUAGGGGGCGAGCGUUGUCCGGAAUGAUUGGGCGUAAAGGGCGCGUAGGCGGCCCGGUAAGUCUGGAGUGAAAGUCCUGUUUUUAAGAUGGGAAUUGCUUUGGAUACUGUCGGGCUUGAGUGCAGGAGAGGUAAGUGGAAUUCCCAGUGUAGCGGUGAAAUGCGUAGAGAUUGGGAGGAACACCAGUGGCGAAGGCGAAUUACUGGACUGUAACUGACGCUGAGGCGCGAAAGGGUGGGGAGCAAACAGGAUUAGAUACCCUGGUAGUCCACACUGUAAACGAUGAAUGCUAGGUGUAGGGGGUAUCGACCCCUUCUGUGCCGCAGUCAACACAAUAAGCAUUCCGCCUGGGGAGUACGGCCGCAAGGUUGAAACUCAAAGGAAUUGACGGGG
Molecule: ribosomal RNA, 397 nt
Filed under: uncultured bacterium
Lineage: Bacteria
Description: partial 16S ribosomal RNA
Rfam family: Bacterial small subunit ribosomal RNA
Source: RNAcentral